Molecule: transfer RNA, 74 nt
Filed under: Bacteroidota bacterium
Lineage: Bacteria; Pseudomonadati; Bacteroidota
Description: Bacteroidetes bacterium (hot springs metagenome) tRNA-Pro
Rfam family: tRNA
About the family: Transfer RNA (tRNA) molecules are approximately 80 nucleotides in length. Their secondary structure includes four short double-helical elements and three loops (D, anti-codon, and T loops). Further hydrogen bonds mediate the characteristic L-shaped molecular structure. tRNAs have two regions of fundamental functional importance: the anti-codon, which is responsible for specific mRNA codon recognition, and the 3' end, to which the tRNAs corresponding amino acid is attached (by aminoacyl-tRNA synthetases). tRNAs cope with the degeneracy of the genetic code in two manners: having more than one tRNA (with a specific anti-codon) for a particular amino acid; and 'wobble' base-pairing, i.e. permitting non-standard base-pairing at the 3rd anti-codon position.
Source: RNAcentral
CGGAGUGUGGCGCAGUCCGGUAGCGUACUUGCAUGGGGUGCAAGGGGUCGUGGGUUCAAAUCCCGCCACUCCGA